RNAcentral lists this ribosomal RNA (719 nucleotides) under uncultured bacterium. RNAcentral describes it as "bacterial SSU rRNA". It matches the Rfam family "Bacterial small subunit ribosomal RNA", at positions 64 to 799 of the family's 1533-position model. The record is from RNAcentral.
AGACGAGAGUAGCUUGCUACGAACUGUUUUAGCGGCGGACGGGUGAGUAACGCGUGAGCAACCUUUCCCAGACAGGGGAAUAACACACCGAAAGGUGUACUAAUACCGCAUAAGACCACGGUUUCACAUGGAACUGAGGUAAAAGAUUUAUCGGUUUGGGGUGGGCUCGCGUCCGAUUAGGUAGUUGGUGAGGUAACGGCCCACCAAGCCGACGAUCGGUAGCCGACCUGAGAGGGUGAUCGGCCACAUUGGGACUGAGACACGGCCCAAACUCCUACGGGAGGCAGCAGUGGGGAAUAUUGGGCAAUGGAGGAAACUCUGACCCAGCAACGCCGCGUGGAGGAAGAAGGUUUUCGGAUCGUAAACUCCUGUCCUUGGAGACGAGUAGAAGACGGUAUCCAAGGAGGAAGCCCCGGCUAACUACGUGCCAGCAGCCGCGGUAAUACGUAGGGGGCAAGCGUUGUCCGGAAUAAUUGGGCGUAAAGGGCGCGUAGGCGGCUCGGUAAGUCUGGAGUGAAAGUCCUGCUUUUAAGGUGGGAAUUGCUUUGGAUACUGUCGGGCUUGAGUGCAGGAGAGGUUAGUGGAAUUCCCAGUGUAGCGGUGAAAUGCGUAGAGAUUGGGAGGAACACCAGUGGCGAAGGCGACUAACUGGACUGUAACUGACGCUGAGGCGCGAAAGUGUGGGGAGCAAACAGGAUUAGAUACCCUGGUAGUCCACA